ACAAGAGGGAACUCUGUGAGACUUGCUUCAGUCAGGUGCCAGUGGUGGAGGCCAGAGAGCGGACAGAACUGUUGCACAGGGUGUGUCUGGGAGAGAGAAGGGCAGAGCUCACCAGGCACGUGGGGCAGGAAGUGUGUGUGUCGGGGGGUGAGACUAGAGACUGGAACACAGGCAUGGAUUAAGAGGAUAGAAAGGGAUUAAGAGGGAGAAGUUAAAGACCAAGCGGUGAGGGUCUAAAUUCGAACAGGUCCUAGACAAGCCGGGGAUUGGGGGAUGUGUCCAACCACGAAGAGCAAGAGUGACCCCUGGAGAGGAGGGACCCCUUCUCCUCUGGGGCUCUAUCUAACAAGGCUUACAGAGCUGGGAAAUUUUACACAUGAAUCUUGGAGACUAUAACCCUGAAUAAUCUGCAGAUCUUCAGUUUUAAGAUCCAUUUUUAGAAAUAUCUGUGGAUAACAGGACUUCCAUUUCUCUAGAUACUUUAGGCUUUUUAUUCCAAUACCAAGAUAAGCCACCAGAGUACCAGGACUUUGGACUACAUAGUUUUGCCUGUUUUAUUUCUAAGAGUCCUUCUUUGGUAUUGUAAACUAGGCAAGGAAUUAGAAAACGUAAAAAAGGAGCCAGUAGAAAUUAAACUGGAAAAACACAAAACAACCCCAAAACCC
Long non-coding RNA from Felis catus (domestic cat), 665 nucleotides. RefSeq lists it as uncharacterized. The transcript has 2 exons. NCBI's taxonomy places the organism in Eukaryota, Metazoa, Chordata, Mammalia, Carnivora, Felidae. The record is from RefSeq and is a predicted model, not a curated record.